RNAcentral lists this small RNA (69 nucleotides) under Sinorhizobium meliloti 2011. RNAcentral's name for it is "putative ncRNA". The record is from RNAcentral. Lineage: Bacteria; Pseudomonadati; Pseudomonadota; Alphaproteobacteria; Hyphomicrobiales; Rhizobiaceae.
AGGUGAAGUUCGCCCAUGCCGGCGAUGAUCGUCUGGCCGGACUCCUCGUCGGUCUUGACGCGGAAGGAC